This 469-nucleotide ribosomal RNA is filed under the name uncultured Alphaproteobacteria bacterium. Its description in RNAcentral is "bacterial SSU rRNA". It matches the Rfam family "Bacterial small subunit ribosomal RNA", at positions 49 to 566 of the family's 1533-position model. Lineage: Bacteria; Pseudomonadati; Pseudomonadota; Alphaproteobacteria. The record is from RNAcentral.
UAACACAUGCAAGUCGAGCGCCCCGCAAGGGGAGCGGCAGACGGGUGAGUAACGCGUGGGAACGUACCCUUUACUACGGAAUAACGCAGGGAAACUUGUGCUAAUACCGUAUGUGCCCUUCGGGGGAAAGAUUUAUCGGUAAGGGAUCGGCCCGCGUUGGAUUAGCUAGUUGGUGGGGUAAAGGCCUACCAAGGCGACGAUCCAUAGCUGGUCUGAGAGGAUGAUCAGCCACAUUGGGACUGAGACACGGCCCAAACUCCUACGGGAGGCAGCAGUGGGGAAUAUUGGACAAUGGGCGCAAGCCUGAUCCAGCCAUGCCGCGUGAGUGAUGAAGGCCCUAGGGUUGUAAAGCUCUUUCACCGGAGAAGAUAAUGACGGUAUCCGGAGAAGAAGCCCCGGCUAACUUCGUGCCAGCAGCCGCGGUAAUACGAAGGGGGCUAGCGUUGUUCGGAAUUACUGGGCGUAAAGC